RNAcentral lists this long non-coding RNA (1097 nucleotides) under Ananas comosus (pineapple). RNAcentral describes it as "long non-coding RNA (ACOM_LNC002688)". The record is from RNAcentral. Lineage: Eukaryota; Viridiplantae; Streptophyta; Magnoliopsida; Poales; Bromeliaceae.
CUGUUGGAACAAAUACAGCAUAGGAAUCUGAUUGCAAUUAAAAUCUAAUCAAUUUGUGAUAAAAAAAAAUAAAAUCAUACAAACUUACAGAUAAUUGCUAAAUCCAAAUAAAAAAUUUGAUCAAUCCGGAAGCGUGCGAGGCACUGCCCUAAGGCGUAUUUCCGUCCUUACGUGCGGGAUUAACCGGAAAUAACACCCCAAGGUACGACCGGAAUUUCUCCUCCUGCGAGCACGAUCGUGAAGGAGGUUGACGGAGACUCUUUCAACACCCGAUGACAAAGAAAUCAAGUAAAUAAACAAUUGAUAAAAACUUAAAUUAAAACCCUCCUUUCACUUGUUGUUUUUCUACGGUGUUCAUAUAUCUAUGAACAGUAGAACAAGUGUAUAUAAAUAUAUAGGCUAAAUUACAGAAAACCCCCCUGUAAUAACCUGCUUUUUCACUUUCCCCCCCUGACAUUUAAAAACCUACACUUUGCCUCCUUGUAAAAUGAAAAAUGUGCACUUCACCCCUACCGUUAGGGUUCCGUUAAGGGGUUCUGUUAAAAAAUAUUUUUUUAUACCGAAAAUACCCCUCUGCCUCUUCUCUGAUGCUUCGCUCCCUCCGGCUCGCCGCUUCGCAGCCUCGUCGCCUCGCCGUCCUCCACUGCUUCGCCCUCCUCCACAUCCCUUUCGUCCUCCUCCGCCACCUCGCCUUUGCCCUCGUUGUCCCUGCCUACCUCUCCAUCAACACCCAUCUUAGUAUCCUCCCUAUUGUCGCCGAAAUCGAUGGGCGGCGACAGUGUAGGAGGAGAAGGGGAGCAGGUGGAGAAGAAAUUAGAGAGGAAUCGUGGCCGAUUGAGGUGGAAAUAGCGGCGGAUCGAAGGGGCGGCUGAGGAAGCUCAGGAAGAAAACAACAAUGGCGAGGGGCAAAAUGGUCAUUUUACACACCGUGACCCCCCUGUGAACAUUUUUUAUUUUACAAGGGGGCAAAGUGUAGAUUUUUAAAUGUCAGGGGGGAAAGUGAAAAAGUGGUUUAUUAUAAUGGGGUUUUCUGUAAUUUAGCCUAAAUAUAUAUACAGGGGAAUGAGAAAACUUAACGUCGGUAUUCCCAACGUUAA